GAUGAACGCUGGCGGCGUGCCUAAUACAUGCAAGUCGAGCGAACGGACGAGAAGCUUGCUUCUCUGAUGUUAGCGGCGGACGGGUGAGUAACACGUGGAUAACCUACCUAUCAGACUGGGAUAACUUCGGGAAACCGUAGCUUAUACCGGAUAAUAUUUUGAACCGCAUGGUUCAAAAGUGAAAGACGGUCUUGCUGUCACUAAUAGAUGGAUCCGCGCUGCAUUAGCUAGUUGGUAAGGUACCGGCGUACCAAGGCAACGAUGCAUAGCCGACCGGAGAGGACGGUCAGCCGCCCUGGGACUGUGACACGGUCCAGUCGGCUAGGGGAGGCAGCAGUAGGGAUUCGUCCGCAAUGGGCGAGAGCCUGACGGAGCAACGCCGCGGGCGUGAGGAGGGUCGUCGGGUCGGAAAACUCUGUUAUUAGGGAAGAACACAUGUGUAAGUAACUGGGCACAUCUUGACGGGACCUAAUCAGAAAGCCACGGCUAACCAACGGC
RNAcentral lists this ribosomal RNA (498 nucleotides) under uncultured bacterium. Its description in RNAcentral is "partial 16S ribosomal RNA". It matches the Rfam family "Bacterial small subunit ribosomal RNA", at positions 28 to 508 of the family's 1533-position model. The record is from RNAcentral.